CCCAAUUUAAAUGAGCCCAAGUAAAAAUAUAUACACUGAGCCCAACGAAAAUAAAAAGGUAUGGCCCAUCCGAUUUUUAGGAAAGCCCAAACAAAAAUCCCUCUCUCUCUAAUCUCCUCUCUACACACCCACUGCCUCCCUUCUCCCUCCAUAGCUCCGCCGCCGGCCGCCUGCUCCAGCUCCGGCGGAAUCUUCGCCGGAAACACCUCCCUCUGGUCGUCCCUCUCUCACCUCACUCCAUCCCAUCGUCUCUCACCCUCCCACUCUUUCUCACCGCUCUCUUCUUCCUCCUUAACAUCCGUCGUCUGCUCCCUUCUCCGGCGAAAAUCGCCGGC
RNAcentral lists this long non-coding RNA (335 nucleotides) under Salvia miltiorrhiza (redroot sage). Its description in RNAcentral is "long non-coding RNA (SMIL_LNC011910)". Lineage: Eukaryota; Viridiplantae; Streptophyta; Magnoliopsida; Lamiales; Lamiaceae. The record is from RNAcentral.